GGGCGACAUUCCUGCCAAGGCUCAAUUGGUAGCGCUACCAUGCAAGUCGAGCGGGAACGAGUUAACUGAACCUUCGGGGAACGUUAACGGCGUCGAGCGGCGGACGGGUGAGUAAUGCCUGGGAAAUUGCCCUGAUGUGGGGGAUAACCAUUGGAAACGAUGGCUAAUACCGCAUAAUAGCUUCGGCUCAAAGAGGGGGACCUUCGGGCCUCUCGCGUCAGGAUAUGCCCAGGUGGGAUUAGCUAGUUGGUGAGGUAAUGGCUCACCAAGGCGACGAUCCCUAGCUGGUCUGAGAGGAUGAUCAGCCACACUGGAACUGAGACACGGUCCAGACUCCUACGGGAGGCAGCAGUGGGGAAUAUUGCACAAUGGGCGCAAGCCUGAUGCAGCCAUGCCGCGUGUAUGAAGAAGGCCUUCGGGUUGUAAAGUACUUUCAGCAGUGAGGAAGGUACAGACGUUAAUAGCUUAUGCAUUUGACGUUAGCUGCAGAAGAAGCACCGGCUAACUCCGUGCCAGCAGCCGCGGUAAUACGGAGGGUGCGAGCGUUAAUCGGAAUUACUGGGCGUAAAGCGCAUGCAGGUGGUUUGUUAAGUCAGAUGUGAAAGCCCGGGGCUCAACCUCGGAAUUGCAUUUGAAACUGGCAGACUAGAGUACUGUAGAGGGGGGUAGAAUUUCAGGUGUAGCGGUGAAAUGCGUAGAGAUCUGAAGGAAUACCGGUGGCGAAGGCGGCCCCCCUGGACAGAUACUGACACUCAGAUGCGAAAGCGUGGGGAGCAAACAGGAUUAGAUACCCUGGUAGUCCACGCCGUAAAACGAUGUCUACUUGGAGGUUGUGGCCCUUGAGCCGUGACUUCGGAAGCCUUAACGCGGUUAAGUAGACCCGCCCUGGGGGGGGA
RNAcentral lists this ribosomal RNA (896 nucleotides) under Vibrio brasiliensis. Its description in RNAcentral is "bacterial SSU rRNA". It matches the Rfam family "Bacterial small subunit ribosomal RNA", at positions 9 to 873 of the family's 1533-position model. The record is from RNAcentral. Lineage: Bacteria; Pseudomonadati; Pseudomonadota; Gammaproteobacteria; Vibrionales; Vibrionaceae.